GAUGAACGCUGGCGGCGUGCCUAAUACAUGCAAGUCGAGCGAACGGACGAGAAGCUUGCUUCUCUGAUGUUAGCGGCGGACGGGUGAGUAACACGUGGAUAACCUACCUAUAAGACUGGGAUAACUUCGGGAAACCGGAGCUAAUACCGGAUGAUAUUUUGAACCGCAUGGUUCAAAAGUGAAAGACGGUCUUGCUGUCACUUAUAGAUGGAUCCGCGCUGCAUUAGCUAGUUGGUAAGGUAACGGCUUACCAAGGCAACGAUGCAUAGCCGACCUGAGAGGGUGAUCGGCCACACUGGAACUGAGACACGGUCCAGACUCCUACGGGAGGCAGCAGUAGGGAAUCUUCCGCAAUGGGCGAAAGCCUGACGGAGCAACGCCGCGUGAGUGAUGAAGGUCUUCGGAUCGUAAAACUCUGUUAUUAGGGAAGAACAUAUGUGUAAGUAACUGUGCACAUCUUGACGGUACCUAAACAGAAAGCCACGGCUAACUACGUG
RNAcentral lists this ribosomal RNA (497 nucleotides) under uncultured bacterium. Its description in RNAcentral is "partial 16S ribosomal RNA". It matches the Rfam family "Bacterial small subunit ribosomal RNA", at positions 28 to 507 of the family's 1533-position model. The record is from RNAcentral.